UACCGAUCCAAUUACCCUUUCCAGUUUACCUGUGCAUAGAGUUAUUUAUUUAUAUAUAUAUAUAUAUAUAUAACCAAAAUAAAAUAUAAAAUAAAAAUAGACCAUAUAAAAAUGGCUAUAUCUACCUUGUCAACAAAAAAUCCUAGAAGAAUAAUUCGGAGCUAAAGGUAGACGCACAUAUAUACAUACACACAAAACAGAAGAAUGAAUAUACAUAUAUGUUUACAGAAAUUAUCAAUUUUGCCUAACGAUAGAUCCCUUCAUACACUCAUAUAUUUAGAUCAAGGAAUCGCUACAUUAGGCUGACUGGCCGAAUACCAACCUAAGCAAAUUAUAUACAAGAUAUAACAUAAACGAGAAAGGAAAAACAAAUAGAUCAGGACAAGUAUGAAUCGUCGCCUCUACCUUCGACUUUCUCAGAUUUACUUGUUAUGGGCACAACACCAUGAGGGCAUUAUAUAGACAAAAAGAAGGGGUGGGAACCUUAGGCAUUACAGUUAUGGCGAUGGGCGAAGAUUUUUGUUGGGCCUCAAGUUGGGCUGAGUACAAAUUAUUUGAGACUAGGCAAAAUGUCAUUUCAUCGAGGAGUGUGAAAUGUAAAUAGCGACCAUUCUUUUGCCAAGGAAUCGGAAGAUGGGGCGAUUUUUUUUCAAGAAAUUACCAAUAAAAAAUACAAAUCAUUCCUUUUUUUUUUUUAAUCAAAAUCGAUCAUAACCACUCCCUACAUUUAACGAAAGUGUGCACUAUAAAUAGGAGUUAAUAAAGAGACCCGCGAUUACAUAGAAAGACGACAAGAUCCCAUAUGAAAAAAAAAUGAUUGAUAUCAAGUUUCUACCAAGAUAACUGAAAGUUCCUAAUAACCCUAAAAACGGAUCAGGAGUGGGAAUGGGAGGCCUCAGAGAUCUUGGUGGAUAAAAUUCAUCAAGUGGGAUAUCAAAACCCCAUCAAGAGUAGCAAAUAUCUUUCUUACAUCACAGGCCAUAUACAUAAAAAAAGCCUUUAUUUGUAAAAAUAAUGUUAAAAGGUGGAAAAUAAAAUGGGAAAAAAUUAAGAUAUUAAUGGAUGGAUAAUGGCAAGAGUCAGAAGUAGCUGGUAAGUAAACAUGGAAUAUUCAUUGGGAAUCCGAUUAAUUUUUUUCAUCAUCCCUGCCAUCAUUAUCAUCAUCACAUCAUAAUAUAUAUAACAUUUCUAUGUAAAUUGGACAAUAAAAACAAAAGAAAUUUGUUCCGAUCCAAUUACCCUUUCCAAUUUACUUGCGCGUAGUUAUUUAUAUAUAUAUAUAUAUAACCAAAAUAAAAUAUAAAAUAAAAAUAGACCAUAUAAAAAUGGCUAUAUCUACCUUACCUUGUCACCAAAAAAUCCUAGGAAGAAUAAUUCGGAGCUAAAGGUAGAUGCACAUAAAUACAUACACACAAAACAGAAGAAUGAAUAUACAUAUAUAUGUACAUAAAUUAUCAAUUUUGCCUAACGAUAGAUCCCUUCAUCCAUUCAAACAUUUGGAUCAAGGAAUUGCAAUAUUAGGCUGACUGGCCAAAUACCAACCCAACCAAAUUAUAUACAAGAUAUAACAUAAACGAGAAAAGAAUAACAAAUAGAUCAGAACAAGUAUGAAACGUCGCCUCUGCCUUUGACUUUCUCAGAUUAACUUGUUUUGGGCACGACACCAUGAGGGCAUUACAUAGACAGAAAAAGAGGGGGGUGGGAACCCUAGCCAUUACUGUUAUGACGAUGGGCUAAUAUUUUUGUUGGGCCUCGAGUUGGACCGAGUACAAAUUAUUUGAGACCAGGCAAAAUGUCAUUUCAUUGAGGAGUGUGAAAUGUAAACAGCGACCGUUGUUUUGUUAAGGAAUCGGAGGAUGAUGGGAUGAUUUUUUUCCAGGAAAUUCCCAAUAAAAAAUACAAAUCAUUCCUUUUUUUUAUUUAUCAAAUCGAUCAUAACCGCUCCCUACAUUUAACGAAAGUGUGCACUAUAAAUAGGAGUUAAUAAAGAGACCCACGAUUACAUAGAAAGACAUCACGAUCCCCUAUGGGAAAAAAAAAUUUUGCUAAGACAAAAUUAAAGAUAUCAAGUUUCUACCAAGAUAACUAGAAGUUCCUAAAGACCCUAAAAAAAGGAUCGGGAGUGGGAAUGGGAGGCUUCAGAGAUCUUGGAGGAUAAAAUUCAUCAAGUGGGAUAUGAAAACACCAUCAAGAGUAGCAAAUAUCUUUCUUACAUCACAAGCCAUAUACAUAAAAAACUUAAAAGCCUUUAUUUGUAAAAAUAAUGUUAAAAGGUGGAAAAUAAAAGGGGAAAAAUUAAGAUAUUAAUGGAUGAAUAAUGGCAAGAGUCGGAAGUAGCUGGUAAGUAAGAGUCCUUCUAGACAGACCGGAAAUUUGGACAGGAAAAUGAGACAUUUUCAAAUUUUUUUAUUUUUUUUGAUUGCGACUCCCAAAAAAUGUAUAGUACUUAUUCCAACAAGAUUUAUAUGUCUCCAAAUUACACAUUAAACACUAUAUUUUGUAAAAAUUCCUGUUGGAAUAAAUACUAUACAUUUUUUGAGUCGCAAUCAAAAAUAAAUAAAUAAAAUUGAAAAUGUCCCACAUUCUUGUCCAGAUUUUUGGUCUAUCUAGACGGUAAAAUAUACAUGGAAUAUUCAUUGGGAAUCCGAUUGAUUUUUUUCAUCAUCCCUGCCAUAAUAUCAUCAUCAAAUCAUAAUAUCAUAAUAUAUAUAUAUAUGACAUUUCUAUUUAAAUUGGACAAUAAAAACAAAAAAGAAUUUGUACCGAUCCAAUUAUCCUUUCCAGUUUACCUGUGCAUAGUUAUUUAUUUAUAUAUAUAUAUAUAUAUAUAACCAAAAUAAAAUAUAAAAUAAAAAUAGACCAUAUAAAAAUGGCUAUAUCUACCUUGUCAACAAAAAAUCCUAGAAGAAUAAUUCGGAGCUAAAGGUAGACGCACAUAUAUACAUACACACAAAACAGAAGAAUGAAUAUACAUAUAUGUUUACAGAAAUUAUCAAUUUUGCCUAACGAUAGAUCCCAUCAUACACUAAUAUAUUUAGAUCAAGGAAUCGCUAUAUUAGGCUGACAGGCCGAAUACCAACCUAAGCAAAUUAUAUACAAGAUAUAACAUAAACGAGAAAGGAAAAACAAAUAGAUCAGGACAAGUAUGAAUCGUCGCCUCUACCUUCGACUUUCUCAUAUUUACUUGUUAUGGGCACAACACCAUGAGGGCAUUAUAUAGACAAAAAGAAGGGGUGGGAACCCUAGGCAUUACAGUUAUGGCGAUGGGCGAAGAUUUUUGUUGGGCCUCAAGUUGGGCUGAGUACAAAUUAUUUGAGACUAGGCAAAAUGUCAUUUCAUCGAGUGUGAAAUGUAAAUAGCGACCAUUCUUUUGCCAAGGAAUCGGAAGAUGGGACGAUUUUUUUUCAAGAAAUUCCCAAUAAAAAAUACAAAUCAUUCCUUUUUUUUUUUAUCAAAAUCGAUCAUAACCACUCCCUACAUUUAACGAAAGUGUGCACUAUAAAUAGGAGUUAAUAAAGAGACCCGCGAUUACAUAGAAAUAUGACAAGAUCCCAUAUCAAAAAAAAAUGAUUUGCUAAGCCGUAAAUAAAGAUAUCAAGUUUCUACCAAGAUAACUGAAAGUUCCUAAUAACCCUAAAAACGGAUCAGGAGUGGGAAUGGGAGGCCUCAGAGAUCUUGGUGGAUAAAAUUCAUCAAGUGGGAUAUCAAAACCCCAUCAAGAGUAGCAAAUAUCUUUCUUACAUCACAGGCCAUAUACAUAAAAAACUUAAAGCCUUUAUUUGUAAAAAUAAUGUUAAAAGGUGGAAAAUAAAAUGGGAAAAAAUUAAGAUAUUAAUGGAUGGAUAAUGGCAAGAGUCAGAAGUAGCUGGUAAGUAAACAUGGAAUAUUCAUUGGGAAUCCGAUUAAUUUUUUUCAUCAUCCCUGCCAUCAUUAUCAUCAUCACAUCAUAAUAUAUAUAUAUAACAUUUCUAUGUAAAUUGGACAAUAAAAACAAAAGAAAUUUGUUCCGAUCCAAUUACCCUUUCCAAUUUACUUGCGCAUAGUUAUUUAUAUAUAUAUAUAUAACCAAAAUAAAAUAUAAAAUAAAAAUAGACCAUAUAAAAAUGGCUAUAUCUACCUUGUCACCAAAAAAUCCUAGGAAGAAUAAUUCAGAGCUAAAGGUCGACGCACAUAAAUACAUACACACAAAACAGAAGAAUGAAUAUACAUAUAUAUGUACAGAAAUUAUCAAUUUUGCCUAACGAUAGAUCCCUUCAUCCAUUCAAACAUUUGGAUAAAGGAAUUUCAAUAUUAGGCUGACUGGCCAAAUACCAACCCAACCAAUUAUAUACAAGAUAUAACAUAAACGAGAAAAGAAUAACAAAUAGAUCAGAACAAGUAUGAAACGUCACCACUGCCUUCGACUUUCUCAGAUUAACUUGUUUUGGGCACGACACCAUGAGGGCAUUAUAUAGACAGAAAAAGAGGGGGGUGGGAACCCUAGCCAUUACUGUUAUGACGAUGGGCUAAGAUUUUUGUUGGUCCUCGAGUUGGACCGAGUACAAAUUAUUUGAGACCGGGCAAAAUAUCAUUUCAUUGAGUGUGAAAUGUAAACAGCGACCGUUGUUUUGUUAAGGAAUCGGAGGAUGAUGGGAUGAUUUUUUUCCAGGAAAUUCCCAAUAAAAAAUACAAAUCAUUCCUUUUUUUUAUUUAUCAAAUCGAUCAUAACCGCUCCCUACAUUUAACGAAAGUGUGCACUAUAAAUAGGAGUUAAUAAAGAGACCCACGAUUACAUAGAAAGACAUCACGAUCCCUUAUGGGAAAAAAAAAAAUUUGCUAAGACAAAAUUAAAGAUAUCAAGUUUCUACCAAGAUUACUAGAAGUUCCUAAGAGUAGCAAAUAUCUUUCUUACAUCACAGGCCAUAUACAUAAAAAACUUAAAAGCCUUUAUUUGUAAAAAUAAUGUAAAAAGGUGGAAAAUAAAAGGGGAAAAAUUAAGAUAUUAAUGGAUGAAUAAUGGCAAGAGUCGGAAGUAGCUGGUAAGUAAGAGUCCUUCUAGACAGACCAGAAAUUUGGACAGGAAAAUGAGACAUUUUCAAAUUUUUUUAUUUUUUUUGAUUGUGUCUCCCAAAAAAUGUAUAGUACUUAUUCCAACAGGAUUUUUAUAAAAUAUAGUGUUUUAAGGUGUAAUUUAAAUACAUAUACAAAAACAGGGUGUAAGGUGUAUUUGUAUAACCCUGUUUUUGUAUAUAUGUAUCCAAAUUACAUCUUAAACACUAUAUUUUGUAAAAAUUCCUGUUGGAAUAAAUACUAUACAUUUUUUGAGUCACAAUCAAAAAUAAAUAAAUAAAAUUGAAAAUGUCCCACAUUCUUAUCCAGAUUUUCGGUCUAUCUAGACGGGAAAAUAAACAUGGAAUAUUCAUUGGGAAUCCGAUUGAUUUUUUUCAUCAUCCCUGCCAUCAUAUCAUCAUCAAAU
Molecule: long non-coding RNA, 5455 nt
Filed under: Panax ginseng (ginseng)
Lineage: Eukaryota; Viridiplantae; Streptophyta; Magnoliopsida; Apiales; Araliaceae
Description: long non-coding RNA (PGIN_LNC010252)
Source: RNAcentral